RNA transcript from Crotalus tigris (Tiger rattlesnake), 5444 nucleotides. It is a transcript of the gene named putative homeodomain transcription factor 2, with no coding region annotated. The record is from RefSeq and is a predicted model, not a curated record. The transcript is spliced from 20 exons. NCBI's taxonomy places the organism in Eukaryota, Metazoa, Chordata, Lepidosauria, Squamata, Viperidae.
CAUCCGCCAGCUCGGUAGCAAUUGCCCGGCGCGCGCUGCUCCUUCCCGGCUCUGCAGAGGCUGGCUGGGGGGGGGGGGGGACCCCGGGCUCCUACAGCCCCUCGCCCGCCAGCGAAGAACCGCCUAAAUUCUGUAUCAAUGCCACAGAAUAAAUGGCAUCCAAAGUGACAGAUGCUAUUGUCUGGUACCAGAAAAAGAUUGGGGCAUACGAUCAGCAAAUAUGGGAAAAAUCUGUUGAACAAAGAGAAAUCAAGUUUAUUAAGUUGGGUUUGAGAAACAAGCCAAAGAAAACUGGGCACGUAAAGCCUGAUCUCAUCGACGUGGACCUUGUAAGAGGAUCAGCCUUUGCAAAAGCCAAGCCAGAAAGUCCUUGGACGUCGUUGACCCGAAAGGGAAUUGUCAGAGUCGUUUUCUUUCCCUUUUUCUUCAACUGGUGGCUACAAGUGACCUCCAAAGUUAUAUUUCUGUGGCUCCUUUUCCUUUAUCUUCUUCAAGUGGCUGCAGUCAUACUCUUCUUUACAAUAGAAAGCCCACACCACAUACCUCUGACGGAAGUCAUCGGCCCAGCAUGGCUCAUGUUGCUUCUGGGAACUGUGCACUGCCAGAUUGUCUCCACAAGGACCCCCAAAUCGCCCGCAAACACCGGAGGGAGAAGAAGGAGGAAAUUAAGGAAAGCCGCCCACUUGGAAGUGCAUCGUGAAGGGGAUGGCUCUAGCACGACCGACAACACGCAGGAAGGAACCGUCCAGAGUUAUGGCACCAGCAGCUCUUACAGCCUUUGCUCCGUCUUCAAGGAACUCUGGCACGCUACUUCCUUUUUAUCAGGAGCAAAGAAAGCAAAGAACUCCAUAGACAAAUCCACGGAAACCGACAAUGGGUAUGUCUCCCUUGAGGGAAAAAGGACAGGGAGAAACAAUGAAGAUGCUUUGCAGUUCCAGGAUCCUGUCUCUGAGGUCAUCCGGGCAGAAGAGCCCGGCUGGAAUAUCGGAACUGCCCGAAGUUCAUACAACACUUCGAAUCAUAAAGACAGUCACCAAACAAUGGCAAAUAUAUCCGACGAAGUUUCUAGUGAGGAGGGGCCAGAAACUGGCUAUCCUUUACGACGGAAUGCUGAACGCGCUUCCAGCGAUGGUGCGUUUCGGAACAAGAAAACUCACCACUAUAAGAAACAUUACCCCAUAGAGGAUGUCCCCAAAUCAGGGACCAGCUGCAGUUCGCGAUGUUCAAGCUCCAGGCAAGAUUCGGAGAGCACCAGGCCCGAAUCGGAGACGGAAGAUGUGCUGUGGGAGGACUUCUUGCACUGCGCCGAGUGCCGCUCGUCCUGCACCAGCGAGACCGAUGCGGAGAAUUCUCAGGUCAACUCCUGCAUGAAGAAGGAGUACAGGGACGACCCCUUUCAUCCGAGUCAUUUGCCCUGGUUCCACAGCUCUAACCCCGGGCUAGAGAAAGUCAGCGCCAUCGUGUGGGAAGGGAACGACUGCAAAAAGGCUGACAUGUCCGUUCUGGAGAUCAGCGGCAUGAUCAUGAACAGAGUGAACAGCUACGUUCCAGGCAUCGGUUACCAGAUUUUUGGAAACGUGGUCUCCUUAAUCCUAGGAUUAACCCCGUUUGUCUUUAGACUGUCACAAGAAAAAGAUCUGGAACAUUUAGCCACGCACACGGCUACCGAGCUCUACGCUAUCGCCUUCGGGUCAAAUGGAAACAUAAUGGUGAUAUCCAUGGUUGUUGUCUGCUUUAUAGUCCGUGUUUCCCUCGUGUGGAUUUUUUUCUUCCUUUUAUGCGUGGCUGAGAGAACGUACAAGCAGAGGCUGCUUUUUGCCAAAUUGUUCGGUCAUUUAACAUCUGCCAGAAGAGCCCGGAAGUCAGAAGUUCCGCACUUCCGGCUGAAAAAAGUGCAGAAUAUUAAAAUGUGGCUUUCUCUCCGCUCCUAUCUGAAGCGAAGAGGACCUCAGCGUUCAGUGGACGUCAUCGUUUCCUCUGCUUUCUUGCUGACUAUUUCUGUUGUAUUUAUCUGCUGCGCGCAGCUGCUUCAUGUCCAUGCAGUCUUCCUGGAUUGCCAUUAUAAUUGGGAACUAGUGAUAUGGUGCGUUUCCUUAACCCUCUUUCUUUUGAGAUUUGUAACCCUGGGGUCCGAAACAAGCAAGAAAUACAGCAAUACAUCAAUCUUGCUUACGGAACAGAUAAACUUGUACUUGAAAAUGGAAAAGAAGCCAAACAAGAAAGAAGAGCUGACUUUGGUAAACAACGUCUUAAAGCUUGCCACAAAGUUAUUAAAGGAACUGGACAAUCCCUUCAGAUUAUACGGCUUAACAAUGAAUCCUCUGCUCUACAAUAUAACACAAGUUGUUAUUCUGUCUGCUGUUUCGGGUGUAAUCAGCGACUUGCUUGGAUUUAACUUAAAGCUUUGGAAGAUCAAAUCCUGACCCCCUCGUCCAAUACCUCGCGUUGAAGAAGACAACUCAGAAGACUAAACGGCCUCUGUGCAGCCCCCCCCCCUGGCGGAUUUCAGUCAUUGCAAUCUCUUGACGGACAUCCUUGGAGGGGGGGAGAGAAAAAACAACAACCCCGAAGUGUUUACAACUGACUGACUAGUGCAAUCUAAAUAUUUAUUUUACCUUUUCGAUUUUUUUUGGGGGGGGGUAAACUUUGUUUUAACUGACAGUGUGUUUGGUUGUGGAUUCUCAACAGGCUUUGGUUAACGAAAAGGUCAAAAUCGGAGGGAAUCACAACCCUGGUUGUGGUUUCACCUCACAUAAGUCAGAUUGGCUUCAUGGAUUUGGUACAGAAGGAAGCCCUUUUAGCUACAGAGUUUUAUUGUUACAGGAAAUCACUUUAUCGAAUAAGUAUUACAAAGUUAUUUAGAAGGUUUUUAUAUACCGCCUUUGGGAAGAGAGUCUUGAGCCCACCAGCAUAUUGUCGUUUAUAGUUGAAAAUGAUACCUACUGUUAACGACAACGCAUUAUGCCAGGGAGCUAAUAGAUAUGAGUAAAAAAAAAUUUUUUUUUAAAAGAAUAAAUGCAAGAUCCAGUAGCUCUCUUACUCAAGUGAUUCCAGGAUCCACAGGGAACUGUUGUUUAAACAGGACUGAAUCUCAAGGAGGUAUUACCGAGCAAGAUAACAAGUGCUCUUUUCUCGAUGUUUUUUAGCCGAGCAAUAAUUGUAAACUGUUACUACGUUGUAAGAUAUUUUGAUAAAAAAAAAAAUUAGCUGUAGUAUUUAUUUUAAACGUGGGGCUGUUUAUCCAGCUCUUUGCCGCUCAGUAUGUGCACUUUUGUGGUUGUUUUAAUAACGAUCUUUAUAUAUACUAAACUUGCAUAUACUACGGUGCUCUGUGGUGCAAUAAUAUAGCUUUUGCCAGCGGGCAUAAAAAAAAGGUUUAUGCUCAGAAUGAAUAUUUUCCCCACAGUACACUAUAGUGUAGGCAAACUUGUACCACGCAGAGACUUUAAAGUGAACUUAAUAAGGUAUAUGUUUUAAAUUAUAUAAUGGAACGCCAGUUUUUCGAUCCUGUUCCUAUCCUGGCUGAUAAGCAAUUGCGGAUUAUUGCAGGGAAGGUCUUUCCUGACACACACACACACACACACACACACAACACACACAAGAUCCCCCCAAAAUUCUUGAAUUCGUGAAAAAAAAAUAUUCCCAAAUUCCCGAUUUGCCUCUUCACUCUGGAGGAAGUUAUUGUAUGCUGAACUUCCCAGAAUAGUUGAGCAUAUUUAAAAAAAACAGGCAGCCUAAUUGGCAAUUUAAAAUUUCCAUUUAUGAUCUGAAAGGACCAAGAGAAACAGAUUCUCUUCUUUGUUUUCAAAUAACACGCGCAAUAAGCUUACUGGCUAAAUUUAUUUCUGGUUCCAGGUAGGGUCAUUUAACUGGGUUUCUCUAAUUUUCUAAAGCUAUGUAUAGGUUUAUAUGUGUAGACAGUAUUAAGUCAGUUUUGCCUUGAGUAAUAAUAUGAGUAACUAGUGGUUAGUGAUGCAGUAAACAGGGGAGGGGUGAUGUCUAUAAUUGAGUUACCUUGAUGUAAUAUGCACAGUUCUGAUCUAUGGAGGGCAGACCAAAUGUUAGGCGUGCAAGCAAAGACUCUGGGCUUCUCCCAUUCCAUUGAGCAGUCAACACAGCAUAUCACAAAAGUUGCCUGUGACAGGUUGUCACUCCGUUAGGUGAGCGGGAUAGCCCAAAGGCUGUGGGUAUUUGCUGGUGGGCACCCUGGGCCUUAGGUGAAGUUUGUGGCCUUUGCAUAAAAGUCUUAUCAGAGUUGGGCAGCUUAACAAAUUAGAAUCAAUAAAAUGUUAAAUGGUUGCCUACCCUUGGGAUAGAGCGAUCACUAUUUGGAGAAAAAGGAUCGCUUGAUUUUUUUUUAAAAAAAAAAAUCGGCUGAGAACAAAGUCUUUAUGAAAAUCGGCUUACGUUAUCAAAUUGUAAUCAAGUGGGUAAACAUAAACCAUUGUAUUAUGUUGAAUACCCUUGGAAGAGCCUGCAUUUCUAAGCUGACCCCUUAGUUUGAAAACAUAGUUAUUUUAAAUGUAAGCAAGAGAAAAUAAUGUAGCUGAACAGAAAGAAAAUGUAGACAGUCACUUCCUCUGCAGAAUUAUUACGAUUGCUCUGGUGUGGUAUAAGGCAUUUAUAUAUAUAUAAAGUAACACAAACAUUUUGUAUUUUAUUCGUUGCUGUACUAAUGACCAAAGUAUCCUCUGUUGUGUUAUUGUUUGUUCACCCUUUCUCCCAAAAGAAUAUAUUAUUAGAGCUUUAACAACAUGCAUUUUAUCAUGUCAAAACUUUGACCACGUGACCUGUUCUUCUUCUUCAUUUGUGUGGUCUGAUCUUCAGGUUAUGUUUAGGAAUUAAGUCUGUUUUAUAGAUAAUUUUUUUUUCCAAAAUACGGUACGGACCUACCUAAAGCUAAAUUUUACAAAGAAUAUAUUUUAAGAAAAAAAAAACCUAAAGAACAAUAUGAACUGAGGAUGAGUUGUGUAGCGAUCAGAAAUCAGACUCCAUUCUGCCUUACCAUUUUUUUUGUAAAGAAAAAAACAGAACAGAUGUUUUCGUAAGGAAGCAUUGUGUUUUCGUGUUUUGAGAUCUCUAAAUACCGAGUAGGAUCUUAUUGGAUGGCAGCAGUUUUUGAGUUUUGAGCAGAAAUUUGAUCGUAAGCAGACCGUACCUCUGCAACUGGCGGUAUGCUGGAUUGUUGCACUAAUUACGGUUAGCGUUGGCAAACUUGCAGAACUAUCGGGUAGGAAAAGUACCUCACAAAUAAUGACAGGUUUAAAUUGUGCCAUUGGUAAAUCAAGCCUACAAUUGAGAAGCUAAUCUAAGCUUAUCUUACAUCUUUUAUUUGAGAAGAGAGCGGUAAGGAGAAUGCGGCAGAUGUUGUUUAAUUGUUGUUGACUUAUGUUUGUAACCGGCAGCGUGCUCAAGCUUUGGAAUAAAACCAGUGGCUGAUGGUA